Molecule: ribosomal RNA, 429 nt
Filed under: Bacteroidota bacterium
Lineage: Bacteria; Pseudomonadati; Bacteroidota
Description: Bacteroidetes bacterium partial 16S ribosomal RNA
Rfam family: Bacterial small subunit ribosomal RNA
Source: RNAcentral
UAGGGAAUCUUCGGCAAUGGGGGGAACCCUGACCGAGCAACGCCGCGUGAGUGAAGAAGGUUUUCGGAUCGUAAAGCUCUGUUGUUAAGGAAGAACGAGUGUGAGAAUGGAAAGUUCAGACUGUGACGGUACUUAACCAGAAAGGGACGGCUAACUACGUGCCAGCAGCCGCGGUAAUACGUAGGUCCCGAGCGUUGUCCGGAUUUAUUGGGCGUAAAGCGAGCGCAGGCGGUUAGAUAAGUCUGAAGUUAAAGGCAGUGGCUCAACCAUUGUAGGCUUUGGAAACUGUUAAACUUGAGUGCAGAAGGGGAGAGUGGAAUUCCAUGUGUAGCGGUGAAAUGCGUAGAUAUAUGGAGGAACACCAGUGGCGAAGGCGACUCUCUGGUCUGUAACUGACGCUGAGGCUCGAAAGCGUGGGUAGCAAACAGG